Molecule: unclassified non-coding RNA, 239 nt
Filed under: Kitasatospora aureofaciens
Lineage: Bacteria; Bacillati; Actinomycetota; Actinomycetes; Kitasatosporales; Streptomycetaceae
Description: partial 16S-23S ribosomal RNA intergenic spacer
Source: RNAcentral
AAGGAGCACAUGGCCGCUUGCAGGCGAAUGUUCUGCACGGUUGCUCAUGGGUGGAACGUUAACUAUUCGGCACAGCGAGGGCUUGGUCUCCUAGUACUGCUUCGGCGCGGAAGAGAGAGUCUGGUUCUGGUUGUGUCGGGCACGUUGUUGGGUCCUGAGGGAACGGAAGUUGCCUCAAGGAUGCCGGCCUCACUUGAGAUGGUCCUUCGGGAUUGUUGAGGGUGUGUGACUGGUCGUUG